ACUCAGGUCCCGCUAAAAGAAUCCCACUAAUUGCAACCAGCCUCCGCGAAGUAAUACCUAAUGGUGGUCCCGCGGAGGAGAGUGGUAGAAGAAGUGUGUUUGGGGGGUAGAUUUAGUACGUAGGCGCCAUGGAUGGCGAAUCGUGCAUACUACUGGCACGGGCCGGUAGUAUCUAUGAAAAUUCCCACCCCCAGCUCGC
This is a non-coding RNA of Glossina brevipalpis, 199 nucleotides long. The record is from Rfam. Lineage: Eukaryota; Metazoa; Arthropoda; Insecta; Diptera; Glossinidae.